CAGUAGCCACGGGAAUACGAAGGGUGCAAGCGUUACUCGGAAUUACUGGGCGUAAAGCGUGCGUAGGUGGUGGUUUAAGUCCGUUGUGAAAGCCCUGGGCUCAACCUGGGAAUUGCAGUGGGUACUGGGUCACUAGAGUGUGGUAGAGGAUAGUGGAAUUUCCGGUGUAGCGGUGAAAUGCGUAGAUAUAGGAAGGAACAUCAGUGGCGAAGGCGACCACCUGGACUGAUACUGACACUGAGGUGCGAAAGCGUGGGGAGCAAACAGGAUUAGAUACCCCAGUAGUCCCUGUCUCUUAUAC
RNAcentral lists this ribosomal RNA (301 nucleotides) under uncultured bacterium. RNAcentral describes it as "partial 16S ribosomal RNA". It matches the Rfam family "Bacterial small subunit ribosomal RNA", at positions 509 to 807 of the family's 1533-position model. The record is from RNAcentral.